RNAcentral lists this ribosomal RNA (385 nucleotides) under uncultured bacterium. Its description in RNAcentral is "bacterial SSU rRNA". It matches the Rfam family "Bacterial small subunit ribosomal RNA", at positions 425 to 793 of the family's 1533-position model. The record is from RNAcentral.
GUAAAGCACUUUCAGUAGGGAGGAAGGUAGUGUAGUUAACAACCUGCAUUAUUUGACGUUACCUACAGAAGAAGCACCCGGCUAACUCCGUGCCAGCAGCCGCGGUAAUACGGAGGGUGCGAGCGUUAAUCGGAAUUACUGGGCGUAAAGCGCAUGCAGGCGGCCUGUUAAGUCAGAUGUGAAAGACCCGGGGCGUUAACCUCGGAAUUGCAUUUGAAACUGGCAGGCUAGAGUCUUGUAGAGGGGGGUAGGAAUUUCUAGGUGUAGCGGUGAAAUGCGUAGAGAUCUGAAGGAAUACCAGUGGCGAAGGACGGCCCCCCUGGACAAAGACUGACGCUCAGAUGCGAAAGCGUGGGGAGCAAACAGGAUUAGAUACCCCUGGUAG